This 423-nucleotide ribosomal RNA is filed under the name Elysia nigrocapitata. RNAcentral's name for it is "partial 16S ribosomal RNA". It matches the Rfam family "Bacterial large subunit ribosomal RNA", at positions 1844 to 2601 of the family's 2925-position model. Lineage: Eukaryota; Metazoa; Mollusca; Gastropoda; Plakobranchidae. The record is from RNAcentral.
UAUUUUAGGUGAGACCUGCCCACUGCUUAGGUAAACGGCCGCAGUACUUUGACUGUGCUAAGGUAGCAUAAUCAGUUGGCUUUUAAAUGGAGUCGGGAAUGAAUGGAUUAAUAGGGGGAAGCUGUCUCUAUUGUAUUUUAUUGAAUUUAAUUAGUAGGUGAAAAUACCUAUAUAUAGAAAAAAGACGAGAAGACCCUAGGAGUUUUUACUAUAUAUUAAUUUUUAAUUACCGUUUUUGUUGGGGCAACAUAGGAACAACUGAAAUUUCCUUUAUAAAUCUGCCGACUAUAUGUAUGAGAAAUAAAACUACCCUAGGGAUAACAGCGUAAUUUUUAAAAAAGUUUGCGACCUCGAUGUUGGAUUAGGAAAUUAUUUGGUUAGCCGCCAAAUAAAAUUGUUCUGUUCGAACUUAAUUUCCUACGU